UCGAACGCGAAAGGGGCUUCGGCCCUGAGUAGAGUGGCGAACGGGUGAGUAACACGUGGGUGAUCUACCUUUAAGUGGGGGAUAACGUUCCGAAAGGAGCGCUAAUACCGCAUGAUGUGCCGGGUUUGAAGACUUGGCCACCAAAGUCGGGGACCGCAAGGCCUGACGCUUGAAGAGGAGCCCGCGCCUGAUUAGCUAGUUGGUGAGGUCACGGCUCACCAAGGCGACGAUCAGUAGCCGGCCUGAGAGGGCGGACGGCCACACUGGGACUGAGACACGGCCCAGACUCCUACGGGAGGCAGCAGUGGGGAAUUGUUCGCAAUGGGCGCAAGCCUGACGACGCAACGCCGCGUGGAGGAUGAAGGUCUUCGGAUUGUAAACUCCUGUUGACCGGGAAGAAUGGACUCCGACCUAACACGUUGGAGUAAUGACGGUACCGGUUGAGGAAGCCACGGCUAACUCUGUGCCAGCAGCCGCGGUAAUACAGAGGUGGCAAGCGUUG
Molecule: ribosomal RNA, 502 nt
Filed under: uncultured bacterium
Lineage: Bacteria
Description: bacterial SSU rRNA
Rfam family: Bacterial small subunit ribosomal RNA
Source: RNAcentral